This 517-nucleotide ribosomal RNA is filed under the name uncultured bacterium. RNAcentral describes it as "bacterial SSU rRNA". It matches the Rfam family "Bacterial small subunit ribosomal RNA", at positions 8 to 526 of the family's 1533-position model. The record is from RNAcentral.
AGAGUUUGAUCAUGGCUCAGGAUCAACGCUGGCGGCGUGCCUAAUGCAUGCAAGUCGGACGGGCUUGGCCUUGGUCGAGUCACGUGGCGGACGGGUGCGGAGCACGUGGGCAAGCUGCCCUGGGGCGGGGGAUAGCCGCGGGAAACGGCGGGCAAUUCCGCGUACGCUGGUUUGUCGGUGGGACAGAUCAGGAAAGGCUGGAGGAAUUCAGUCACCCUGGGAGGCGCCUGCGGCCGAUUAGCUAGUUGGGGGGGUAACGGCCCACCAAGGCGAUGAUCGGUAGCUGGUCUGAGAGGACGGCCAGCCACACGGGGACUGAGACACGGCCCCGACUCCGACGGGAGGCAGCAGCAAGGAAUCUUCCGCAAUGGGCGCAAGCCUGACGGAGCAACGCCGCGUGGGGGAUGACACCCUUCGGGGCGUAAACCCCUUUUCUGUCGGAAGAAGACGUUUCGGCGUUUGACGGUACGGCAGGAAGAAGGACCGGCUAACCACGUGCCAGCCGCCGCGGUAAUUC